GGAGGGUUGGCAGAGUGGCUAAUUGCGCGGGUUUCGAAAACCCGUAUCCCGAAAGGGAUGCACAGGUUCAAAUCCUGUACCCUCCG
This 86-nucleotide transfer RNA is filed under the name Candidatus Roizmanbacteria bacterium CG2_30_33_16. RNAcentral's name for it is "tRNA-Ser". It matches the Rfam family "tRNA". From Rfam's summary of the family: Transfer RNA (tRNA) molecules are approximately 80 nucleotides in length. Their secondary structure includes four short double-helical elements and three loops (D, anti-codon, and T loops). The record is from RNAcentral. RNAcentral also lists the same sequence under 4 other names. Lineage: Bacteria; Candidatus Roizmaniibacteriota.